UACGGAGGGUGCAAGCGUUAUCCGGAUUCACUGGGUUUAAAGGGUGCGUAGGUGGGUCUGUAAGUCAGUGGUGAAAUCUUCGAGCUUAACUGGAAACUGCCAUUGAUACUAUAGAUCUUGAAUUUUCUGGAGGUAAGCGGAAUAUGUCAUGUAGCGGUGAAAUGCUUAGAUAUGACAUAGAACACCAAUUGCGAAGGCAGCUUACUACGGGAACAUUGACACUGAGGCACGAAAGCGUGGGGAUCAAACAGG
RNAcentral lists this ribosomal RNA (252 nucleotides) under uncultured bacterium. RNAcentral describes it as "partial 16S ribosomal RNA". It matches the Rfam family "Bacterial small subunit ribosomal RNA", at positions 524 to 776 of the family's 1533-position model. The record is from RNAcentral.